CCUAAUUCCCUGCUUUUUUCUGGCCUGAGCUUCCCGGGUCAGGACUUGAUUUGAGGAGGGGCUAAGGGAUUUGGCUAUCUCUGAGGACAGGGGACCUGACUGGUGUAGCUGGGACAUCCCUCCACUUCCUCCUUUUCCUCUAAUUGGUUUCCUUUCCCACGAAGCCUAUUGCUGGGUGUGGGAAGGGCCAGUGGAGGUCCAGGUGUCCCGUUUGCCAAGGCAUGGCUAAGUCACCUCUCAUUCUUACCUGUUCUGAACCCUUGGAUGCAUGGUUCACCCUUGCUGAGGUUCUAGGUCAGUAUUUGCAGAGCAGAUAAGGAUGCUUUACCUCAGCCAGUACUGAGAUAUGGGUGAGACAAAGUUAGGUGGGUGCUGGGCUUACCUUCAUGUCAGAUACCUUCUUUCUCCUGGGCAAGAGAUUGGCCCUGUAAGUAUUAGGGUGGCAAGAUGGGAACCACAGGAGGUCAGCAUGCUUUGCGGAGUGUGUGUGUGUGUGUGUGUGUGUGUGUGUGUGUGUGGCAGCCUUGUAGCCCCCAAAGGCUGUGAGAUCCAGGGUGAAACAUGCCUGGCCUCCCCCAGGAGCUUCCUGAGAACCACUUACCAGUUGCCCUAUGUGCCUCUGUAGGGGUGAUCUAUAUAUAUUAGAACCGAAGGUAGUACCAGUUUUGGGUGAAGGAGGCAGUAUAGGAGUGGGGCCUAGGAGUGUCUGGGCUUGGCUUGAGUAAGGGUCUUGCUUAUGGCAGUGUGAGGAAUGUGGCACUUGGAAACAGACCAAAGAUUCCUGUGGCUCACUAAUUGGGGCAGCAAAUUCAGUACAGCAGGCUGAGUUCCAUAGUAUUGGCAUCAUGUCCUACAAGUACCUGCCUGUUGUACUCUUUUGACCUGCUGUCUACUAUGACCACAUCCCUGUGGUCCACCUACCCUGACCCUACAAAGGUGGUUCAGCAUCCCUUUUCCCCACCCCUGCUUAUAAACACCUGCCACAUCGGGUCCCUUCCAAGGCUUUGGUGCCUAUCAGUCCUCCACUUGUUGUGCUCUGUAUGUCUCUGCCUGGUUGGAAACUUACUCUGAAUGUCACAGAUGGGCCUACAGGGGUAGGACUGCUUGCAUGGCCCCUGUGCCUGCAGUUUCAGGCAGCCCUUCGUCCCGUGGCAUCUGAGUCAGUUUUGAGGUUCCCUGACCUAGAGCCCCUAUGCUGCUCUCUUGGUUAGAAGGACCUGCCAGCCAGGGGCUGGGCUGCUGGUCCAUAUACCCUGCUUCAGCAGGUAUCCCACAUCCCCCUUCCCCAUGCCAGGCUGGAAGGUAGCUGUUCUGUACCUGCUUCUUGACCUUUUCAACCUCUUAUUUAGAGC
This 1352-nucleotide long non-coding RNA is filed under the name Marmota monax (woodchuck). Lineage: Eukaryota; Metazoa; Chordata; Mammalia; Rodentia; Sciuridae. The record is from RNAcentral.